This 72-nucleotide transfer RNA is filed under the name Ovis aries (sheep). Its description in RNAcentral is "tRNA-Leu". Lineage: Eukaryota; Metazoa; Chordata; Mammalia; Artiodactyla; Bovidae. The record is from RNAcentral.
ACUUUUAAAGGAUAGUAGUUAUCCANUUNGGUCUUAGGAACCAAAAAAUUGGUGCAACUCCAAAUAAAAGUA